GUAUACCACAUUGAAAUACACAGGUGUAUCCAGCCAGUAUACCAUGUUGAAAUACACAGGUGUAGCCAGCUAGUAUACUGUAUACCACGUUGAAAUACACAGGUGUAUCCAGCCAGUAUACUGUAUACUAUGUUGAAAUACACAGGUGUAUCCAGCCAGUAUACCACGUUGAAAUACACAGGUGUAUCCAGCCAGUAUACCACGUUGAAAUACACAGGUGUAUCCAGCCAGUAUACCAUGUUGAAAUACACAGGUGUAUCCAGCCAGUAUACUGUAUACCAUGUUGAAAUACACAGUCGUAUCCAGCCAGUGUACAGUAUACCAUGUUGAAAUACACAGGUGUAGCCAGCCAGUAUACCACGUUGAAAUACACAGGCGUAUCCAGCCAGUAUACUGUAUACCAUGUUGAAAUACACAGGCGUAUCCAGCCAGUAUACUGUAUACCAUGUUGAAAUACACAGGCGUAUCCAGCCAGUAUACUGUAUACCAUGUUGAAAUACACAGGUGUAUCCAGCCAGUAUACUGUAUACCACGUUGAAAUACACAGGUGUAGUACUAUUCUAGGAUUUGUUCAUUACCAAGUUGGAACAUAUUUUUAUUGCAUAUUAUAAUGCUUGUUGUUGUUGUUGUUGUUGUAUAUCCUCUGCCUUGACGAUGGAAGUAUCCGGUUGAUCCGAUUCGAGGUGACGCUGGCGUCAUGAAAUAAAAGCACAUAUAUAUACUUUAUGAAAUAAUGUUUACACUCCUGUUGUUUAUUAAAAAUAAAAUUUAAAAAGGCAUUGUUAAUUCAAAUGUCUGUAUUUCAAUAUACUUAUUUUAUACCGUUUUAUAAGUGACAUAUAUAUAUAUAUAUUGUGUAUGAAAAGCCUUGUAAUUGUUGUAAUCACUUGAUGUGAUUUUUGUGCAUUUGACAUCAGUGUCUCGUUGUAUUUUUUUCAAUAUUAAAAGGACCCAGAGCAGUCAAAAAAAA
Molecule: long non-coding RNA, 970 nt
Organism: Oncorhynchus tshawytscha (Chinook salmon)
Lineage: Eukaryota; Metazoa; Chordata; Actinopteri; Salmoniformes; Salmonidae
Source: Ensembl